Molecule: ribosomal RNA, 512 nt
Filed under: Candidatus Nomurabacteria bacterium
Lineage: Bacteria; Candidatus Nomuraibacteriota
Description: partial 23S ribosomal RNA
Rfam family: Bacterial large subunit ribosomal RNA
Source: RNAcentral
AGUCAAGCUGUAAAGGGCACAUGAUGGAUGCCUUGGCACAGUAGAGCGAUGAAGGACGUGGCAAGCUGCGAGAAUCCGCGGGGAGGUGCAAGCGACCUUAGAUCCGCGGGUAUCCGAAUGGGGCAACCCGGCGCUGGUAAUGCGGCGUCAUCCCGAAAGGGAAGCUAACCCAGGGAAGUGAAACAUCUAAGUACCUGGAGGAACAGAAAGAGAAAUCGAUUCCCUUAGUAGCGGCGAGCGAAGCGGGAAGAGCCUAAACCUGGUUGCAUGUAUAAGGCUGCGACCGUUGUGCACCAGGGGUUGUGGGAUCUUGACGAGGUGUGUUGCAGAACACCUGGAGAGUCAGAAAAUCUGUUGAUAGUCGAAUUGUUCUGGAAAGACAAGCCAUAGUGGGUGAUAGCCCUGUAGACGAAAUCAUCAGAUCUCUUUUGUCGAGACACCCGAGUACUGCGGGGCACGUGAAACCCUGUGGGAAUCUGCCCGGACCACCGGGUAAGGCUAAAUAUGCUACU